CAGAGUGAAAUUCUGAACCAAAGGGAAAGAUGCUGGUGUGACAUCAGCUCCAGGAUAAACUUUGCACCUGUGUGGUAUCCUCUCCUCCACAGUACGGCCAUGGAAUGGAGAAAGUUACUUCUCCGAGUCUGCAUGGCAAGCUUCCUGUGGAUCUUCCUGUCCUGGUCAGCCUUUCUUUCAUCCCAGAGUGGUUCACCCUUGCACAGGGCAUUUGAGACAAUGACUCAUCUCUGAGCUUCCAGCUUUGAAGAGGACUGAACUGUUUUCAAUAGAUGCCCACUGAAAGAUUAAACCGAUGAUGCAAAUGUAAAGAAAAUGAAGAACAGGGCGAGAUGGAAACAUCAGCCUCUGGCCAAGCCUCUUGGUUGCCUUCUGCCCCACACAAGAAGUCCGUACUUUUACAAAGGUGGUUCCUAGACCAUUCGACCCAGACUUCCAUCCUGAAAAGAGUCGGCUGUGCUGGGACAACACAGAAAGCUUCAUCUUCAUCAGAUUCUAGGAAGAAGCCUUUCUAGUGCCACAAGACAAAA
Peromyscus leucopus (white-footed mouse) is the source of this 530-nucleotide long non-coding RNA. RefSeq lists it as uncharacterized. NCBI's taxonomy places the organism in Eukaryota, Metazoa, Chordata, Mammalia, Rodentia, Cricetidae. The transcript has 3 exons. The record is from RefSeq and is a predicted model, not a curated record.